Molecule: ribosomal RNA, 497 nt
Filed under: uncultured bacterium
Lineage: Bacteria
Description: partial 16S ribosomal RNA
Rfam family: Bacterial small subunit ribosomal RNA
Source: RNAcentral
GAUGAACGCUGGCGGCGUGCCUAAUACAUGCAAGUCGAGCGAACAGACGAGGAGCUUGCUCCUCUGACGUUAGCGGCGGACGGGUGAGUAACACGUGGAUAACCUACCUAUAAGACUGGGAUAACUUCGGGAAACCGGAGCUAAUACCGGAUAAUAUAUUGAACCGCAUGGUUCAAUAGUGAAAGACGGUUUUGCUGUCACUUAUAGAUGGAUCCGCGCCGCAUUAGCUAGUUGGUAAGGUAAAGGCUUACCAAGGCAACGAUGCGUAGCCGACCUGAGAGGGUGAUCGACCACACUGGAACUGAGACACGGUCCAGACUCCUGCGGUAGGCAGCAGUAGGGAAUCUUACGCAAUGGGCGAAAGCCUGACGGAGCGACGCCGCGUGAGGGAUGACGGUCUUCGGAGCGUAAAACUCUGUUAUUAGGGAAAAACAAAUGUGUAAGUAACUAUGCACGUAUUGACGGUACCUAGUCAAAAAGCCACGGCUAACUACGUG